CCCUUAGAUGUUCUGGGCCGCACGCGCGCUACACUGACAGAGCCAACGAGUUCUUUGCCUUGGCCGGAAGGUCUGGGUAAUCUUGUUAAACUCUGUCGUGCUGGGGAUAGAGCAUUGCAAUUAUCGCUCUUCAACGAGGAAUGCCUAGUAAGCGCGUGUCAUCAGCAUGCGUUGAUUACGUCCCUGCCCUUUGUACACACCGCCCGUCGCUACUACCGAUUGAAUGGCUCAGUGAGGCCUUCGGACUGGCUCGGGGAGGUUGGCAACGACCACCCCAAGCCGGAAAGUUCGUCAAACUCGGUCAUUUAGAGGAAGUAAAAGUCGUAACA
Molecule: ribosomal RNA, 329 nt
Filed under: uncultured eukaryote
Lineage: Eukaryota
Description: partial 18S ribosomal RNA
Rfam family: Eukaryotic small subunit ribosomal RNA
Source: RNAcentral